Molecule: transfer RNA, 72 nt
Filed under: Ictidomys tridecemlineatus (thirteen-lined ground squirrel)
Lineage: Eukaryota; Metazoa; Chordata; Mammalia; Rodentia; Sciuridae
Description: Spermophilus tridecemlineatus (thirteen-lined ground squirrel) tRNA
Rfam family: tRNA
About the family: Transfer RNA (tRNA) molecules are approximately 80 nucleotides in length.
Source: Rfam by way of RNAcentral
AGGGUUGUGGCUCAGUGGAAGAGUGCUUGCCUAGCAUGCGUGAGGCACUGGGUUCAAUCCCCAGCACCACAU